GGAGUUGUGGCUCGGUGGUAGAGCAUUUACCUAGCAUGUGUGAGGCCCUGGGUUCAAUUCUCAGCACCA
RNAcentral lists this transfer RNA (69 nucleotides) under Ictidomys tridecemlineatus (thirteen-lined ground squirrel). RNAcentral's name for it is "Spermophilus tridecemlineatus (thirteen-lined ground squirrel) tRNA". It matches the Rfam family "tRNA". From Rfam's summary of the family: Transfer RNA (tRNA) molecules are approximately 80 nucleotides in length. Their secondary structure includes four short double-helical elements and three loops (D, anti-codon, and T loops). The record is from Rfam by way of RNAcentral. Lineage: Eukaryota; Metazoa; Chordata; Mammalia; Rodentia; Sciuridae.